Long non-coding RNA from Triplophysa dalaica, 1409 nucleotides. RefSeq lists it as uncharacterized. The record is from RefSeq and is a predicted model, not a curated record. Lineage: Eukaryota; Metazoa; Chordata; Actinopteri; Cypriniformes; Nemacheilidae. The transcript is spliced from 11 exons.
UUAGGUGAGGUGUCUUCAUCUUUUCUUCAACCAACAUAUAAUUUUAGUGCGUUAGUAUUUUUUUUUAUUUCUCUGCAGCGAUGUUAUUACUAGUUAAAUGUGGCCCCGUGUGCCUAUGAUAUGCGUUUUGCUCGUUUUUAUCAUUAUGAGUUAAUACAGCACAUGCAGCGGUGUGUUAAACCGAUGGUGAUUUAGGCUAUCGCUUGAAUCUUAAACCAUCCUAACUCGUUUAGCACUUCUUUACAUUUGCUUUAUCUAUUCCUCAACAAACAAUUGAUGUUAAUCUGCAAUAAUUGUAUAUUUUAUGGAUGAUUGUUUAAAAACGUGCUUUUUUUUUCUAACGGCUUAGAUUAGCUCUGUCUCUCAAUGAUGAUAACUUACACAGACCUGUUCUGAGACACUGUGAUUGCACUAUAUUUAUCUGACGAGAGAUUGGCGUUUUGGUUAAGUUGGUGUUUUAUUCAAAUGUACAGUAACCGAGUAAAGUUCACAUGUUGCGCAAGCUCCACGUGGCUAUGCUUGUCCUAACUGCAGUUUCUUUUGCAGUCAUGCGGACCACGAUGAAACUACAGCUGAUGGGCUGGAAAGGUUCAGUUGCCUCUGGUGCCUUGAAGUCAAGGGCUUUUAAUAUCAAGGGUGCCACAUGAAGCUGGGAUUGAGUGUGCAGAGUGCCCAUGUUAUAUUUGUAAGUAGUUUUUAUAUACACAAGUCUUUAAUUCAGCUUGGUCUGAGAUGAUUAAUUUUUUUACCAUUAUUUUACUGGACGACAGACUUGUCAUAUGGCAUCCUAGUCACCAAAGUCUGAUCAGAUUUUUUUUUUGUGGUAUAUGAAGUCUUUGCCUGCAGCUUCCCAUUCUUAUCUCUGUUAUUUGUUUAGGUUCAUUGAGUUUAUUCUACUGGAGAAUUGGAAUGCCUUGGCUUCCUGGUGGUCCCUGCACAAAGUUACCUUGAAACGGGUGACCUAGCUGUAAAGGUCUUCUGUGAUAAAGAUGAAAUGAGUUGUAUCCUCAAGACUUGCUGGGUGGUGCACCAGAUAUAUGAAAAGGGCUUUUGUGAUCAAAGAUGAAAGGAGUUGUAUGCUCUAGGACCCACAGGUGACUCAUCAUAGCUUUAUAGUACUACUGAAGAACUGGUGGUUUUUGGAAGUGCUUCAUCUUUGUGGGGGACUCCAUGCAUAGCCUCUGCUGCCAUACUGCAUGUUUACUAGGGUUCCCUGAUGUCACUGGAUGCUGGUGUUUCUGCGUUUGUCUCAGUCUGAUGUUUCAUGACUAGUUGAUAUCUCUCAAUGCUUGAUUUGUACAGUCUUGCACUAACAAUGAAUGUCUUUCAUGAUACUUGUUACUUCUGAAAUUAUUGUACUGGGAUGUUGGAUGUGCAUUUAUACAGAAUAAAUGGUUUCUUGACUCAUA